Molecule: long non-coding RNA, 2174 nt
Organism: Pongo pygmaeus (Bornean orangutan)
Lineage: Eukaryota; Metazoa; Chordata; Mammalia; Primates; Hominidae
Exons: 2
Source: RefSeq, a predicted model, not a curated record
GAGGUCUCACUCUGUCACUCAGGCCAGAGUGCAGUGGCGUGAUCCUGGCUGACUGCAGACUUGAAACCCUGGGCUCAAGCAAUCCUCCUGCCUCAGCCUCCCAAGUGGCUGGGACUACAGGUUGGCACCACCAUAUCUGGCUAAUUUGUAUUUUUUUGUAGGAACCAGGUCUUGCUUUGUUGCCCAUCUGGUCUCAAACUUCUGGUCUCAAGCAAUCCUCCCACCUCAGUCUCCCAAAGUGUUGGGAUUACAGGCAUGAGCCACUGUGCUCUACCAGGGUUGAUGUUCAAAUUUUUAUAGAGAACAAAAGAAUUUCACUGGUAAUUGUCAGAGCAGUCCUUAAGGAUAUGUCAGAAACAAAAAAAAUUAUGAUUUGAGAUAGUAAAAAAAGCCAAACGUAUAUAACAGAAAUGCACAGUAAUAGGGAAGCGACGGGAAGGACAGCAGACCCAAGACACCCCAUUUCCAGAUGGCGUGGAUGCACCAUAUCGUUUAGGUGAAGAAAGGCAACAUAAAACAUUAACAUCAAUUUUUUUUUAAAAAAAAGGUUGUAGUCUAUGUAAGUUUAUAGAAAGUUCCCCAUAUUUUUAGUGACGAUACCAUUUUGAGAGGUGGCUUAUGGAGUAUGAGACAAAGCAUAAUUCAAAGGUGUCACUGUGAUGUCACAGGGAAUAAAAACCACAGGGGGUUCAAUGGGACUAGGCCUGGACAUGCCAAGUUAUCAGGUCACAAAAUCCAUUAUGUUUACAAACUUAAGACUUCUGCUCAAUUUUUCUCUAUAUCCCCAAAAUUUGACUAAUUUAGCACUUGGCAUUAAACAUUAUUGGCCAAUAAUAAUAAAUAUUGUAUCAGUAGACUAUAUUACAUUUUGCAAAACAUUUUCAGGUCCAUCAAUUUUGCUCUCCACAUCGUCAAUUAUUUAUUCAUUCAACAAAUACAGAUUGAGUGAUAACCACAUACAAACCAGCAUUGGGGGUGCUUGAGAAACACUGAAAACAUCAUUGUCAACAAAGAUACCUCCCCUUGUGGUGUUUACAUUUAGCACAAAAAGGCAAAACAUAAAUAAAUUAAAUCAGCCUAACAAAUAAGAGAACAAUAUAGUACACUAGACAACACGUACUAUAUGGGGAACAAAGAGCCUCCACUGAGCCUAGCAAGGGUGACUGGAAAGGUGAGCUCUAGGUGGGCUCUGGGGGAGUAGGGCUGUAUAGUAUCAUUGAGAAGUUGGAUCUCAGAAGACUUAAGGAAGAAAGGGAAUAAUGAGUCAAGGGGACAUCAGGGAAAAGGGAAUGUCAAGCAGAAGCCACAGCUGGGGAAAUGGCCCUAUGAUGGGAAGUGCCUGCUUUGGUGGAAACCCGGCCAUGAGGCCAGGGCAGCUGGAGCAGAAUGCAAAGGGAAGUGGGGGUGGAAGAGAUAAUCAGAGGAGGGAUGGGGGUUCAGAUCCUCUAGGGCCUGGGGGUUCACUGUGAGGAUUCUGACUUUCACUGUAAGUUGAAUGGGAGGUCUUUGUGAUGGUAUCUAAGUCACUGUGCUGCCAACAUAUCCUUGGGUGCUAAAGGAAUCAGCCCAGCUGCUGUAGAGAGAAUGGGAGUGGAAGGGCCUAGAGCCCAAGCAGGACCACUGUGAGGAAACGAAGGUCAUAAUCCAGAGGGGCAGGAUGGAGUUCCGACCAUGGUUACAGCAGCAGGGUGGCCAGGACAACUGAACCCCGGACAUAUUCUGAAGAACCUCCCAGUAAUGCCUUCCUGAUGAGAAGCUCUGCAAACCCAGGAUGCAGGGCCAUGUGUCAAAUCGCUCAGGGUUGUUGGGGACAUCCCUCCAUGGUUCUCCAUCCUGCACACUGCGCAGGUCGGCAGUCAAGAGCAGACUCGGGUGCGCCGUGGCAGGAUCCAGCUUUACAUCCACUGCGGAAAGAACGUGGUGGAGCAGGUGAAAGGAAAGAAAGGACUGGUAGAAACUUAGGAAACCACUGAAAAGAACAGUCCCACAGUUCCUCACUUUUCUCUCUCUAUUAACUCCUAGAGAAAACAAAUCAGUAUUUCACCUUACAGGUUAAAUCUUCUUUAUUACUUUAUUAUUCUUAUUCUUUAUAACUUUCUGGUGUAUUCCACUGUUACCUCUGCAUAACCCAGAACUCUUUAACUUCCCCAAUAAAAACUACUGAUGACAACAAA